RNAcentral lists this ribosomal RNA (1405 nucleotides) under Lactiplantibacillus plantarum. RNAcentral describes it as "bacterial SSU rRNA". It matches the Rfam family "Bacterial small subunit ribosomal RNA", at positions 62 to 1433 of the family's 1533-position model. Lineage: Bacteria; Bacillati; Bacillota; Bacilli; Lactobacillales; Lactobacillaceae. The record is from RNAcentral.
UCGAACGAACUCUGGUAUUGAUUGGUGCUUGCAUCAUGAUUUACAUUUGAGUGAGUGGCGAACUGGUGAGUAACACGUGGGAAACCUGCCCAGAAGCGGGGGAUAACACCUGGAAACAGAUGCUAAUACCGCAUAACAACUUGGACCGCAUGGUCCGAGUUUGAAAGAUGGCUUCGGCUAUCACUUUUGGAUGGUCCCGCGGCGUAUUAGCUAGAUGGUGGGGUAACGGCUCACCAUGGCAAUGAUACGUAGCCGACCUGAGAGGGUAAUCGGCCACAUUGGGACUGAGACACGGCCCAAACUCCUACGGGAGGCAGCAGUAGGGAAUCUUCCACAAUGGACGAAAGUCUGAUGGAGCAACGCCGCGUGAGUGAAGAAGGGUUUCGGCUCGUAAAACUCUGUUGUUAAAGAAGAACAUAUCUGAGAGUAACUGUUCAGGUAUUGACGGUAUUUAACCAGAAAGCCACGGCUAACUACGUGCCAGCAGCCGCGGUAAUACGUAGGUGGCAAGCGUUGUCCGGAUUUAUUGGGCGUAAAGCGAGCGCAGGCGGUUUUUUAAGUCUGAUGUGAAAGCCUUCGGCUCAACCGAAGAAGUGCAUCGGAAACUGGGAAACUUGAGUGCAGAAGAGGACAGUGGAACUCCAUGUGUAGCGGUGAAAUGCGUAGAUAUAUGGAAGAACACCAGUGGCGAAGGCGGCUGUCUGGUCUGUAACUGACGCUGAGGCUCGAAAGUAUGGGUAGCAAACAGGAUUAGAUACCCUGGUAGUCCAUACCGUAAACGAUGAAUGCUAAGUGUUGGAGGGUUUCCGCCCUUCAGUGCUGCAGCUAACGCAUUAAGCAUUCCGCCUGGGGAGUACGGCCGCAAGGCUGAAACUCAAAGGAAUUGACGGGGGCCCGCACAAGCGGUGGAGCAUGUGGUUUAAUUCGAAGCUACGCGAAGAACCUUACCAGGUCUUGACAUACUAUGCAAAUCUAAGAGAUUAGACGUUCCCUUCGGGGACAUGGAUACAGGUGGUGCAUGGUUGUCGUCAGCUCGUGUCGUGAGAUGUUGGGUUAAGUCCCGCAACGAGCGCAACCCUUAUUAUCAGUUGCCAGCAUUAAGUUGGGCACUCUGGUGAGACUGCCGGUGACAAACCGGAGGAAGGUGGGGAUGACGUCAAAUCAUCAUGCCCCUUAUGACCUGGGCUACACACGUGCUACAAUGGAUGGUACAACGAGUUGCGAACUCGCGAGAGUAAGCUAAUCUCUUAAAGCCAUUCUCAGUUCGGAUUGUAGGCUGCAACUCGCCUACAUGAAGUCGGAAUCGCUAGUAAUCGCGGAUCAGCAUGCCGCGGUGAAUACGUUCCCGGGCCUUGUACACACCGCCCGUCACACCAUGAGAGUUUGUAACACCCAAAGUCGGUGG